AGAGCGCGCAAGUGGCGCGCGGUGUGGCGCUGACGCCUGGGAACGCAGCCGCCGCAGCUGGCUUUGGCCGCUCUAAGCUUCUCCCCAAGGACCUUCUGCAAGGCAGGCGCCCACCGUAAGCCUCCCGGGCCUUGUGAACCUGCAAACCCAAGGGCUAGAGACGAUCUGCCUUCGGCGCUUUCCGGCUUGGCAGAGGGGUUUUCCUGGCGGGGAUCUUUGGUUCGCGCUGGUGACGCGCGGGGAAGAAAGGCGAGAAGCGGCGUCCGGGCUGGUGCUGUCCCAGCGCGAGGAGGCGGGAUGCGCUCACGGGGUCCGCGGGGCGCCCGGUCCCCGCCAGCGUCGCGCGCCCACCCCGGGGGACGGGAAUGCGGCCGCUUGGGGAAUCCCCCCCCCCGCCCCGCGGCCUCAGCGAGUCUGGAGCGCAGAGAACAGGGGUUGGCGGCGAACUGGCCUCGGAUGGAAAGUGGGGAAUGGGGUGGGGGGCUGCGGACCCCUUAACGUGGAUUACUUGGUGUGUAUCAGCUGGGCUCAGAAGACUCAUGGCCUCCUCUCCGUCCGUGGACUGACUCGUUCUACUUAACAGCUGAGGCGCCAAGCUGGAGGUGGAAUCAGAGAUUUCUGGCUGACUUGGUGGGUGCUUUGAACCAGGAAAGGACAAGAAAGAGGAUGGGAAGGAGGACCGAUCAAGGGCUGCUCUCCCUCAUCCACAUUCCCACCAGGAAGCUUAGAGGAACCCACGCAUGCCACCUGGACCCCCUGGAAGGACCUGGCUAAGGCUAGACCAUCUCUUGAGAGGCAAGAGCUCCAGAUUUGAUUAAGAAUUCUUGGCUGGGCGUGGUGCCUCAUGCCUGUAAUCUCAACACUUUGAGAGGCCAAAGUGGGAGGAUCGCUUGAGCCGAGGAGUUCAAGACCAGCCUGGGCAAUAGAGGGUGACCCCCAUCUCAAAAAAAAAAAAAAAAAAGUAAUAUAAUAAAAAAUUAGCAGGGCAUGGUGGCAUGUGCCUGUAGUCCCAGCUACCCAAGAGGCUGAGGCAAGAGGAUGGCUGAUGCCUGGGAAGUCAAGGCCGCAAUGAACUAUGAUCACCCCACUGCACUCCAGCCUGGGCGACAGAAUGAGACCCUGUCUCAAAAAAAAAAAGAAAAAAAAAAAAUUCUUAUUUUGGAGCAUAAAGAAACCUCUGGAUUUGAGGAGCCGUUUGGGUAGAAAGCAAAGACCCUGACACUGAGAAACAGUCUGACCUGAAGGAGCAGAGGGAUGCAAUCCUGGAGGUGAUCUACAGUCGGAGAAGACUCAUCAUGCCAGACCUCGUCCUUCUUCCUUGCAGAAAAUGUUUCCUCUGCUGCUACUGCUCAUGAGACUCUUCCCCCACCCCAUCCCAGGCAACCAAAGGGCUUUCUGCUACACCCUUUCUUGCCCCCUGCCUCCCACGUCUGCUGUGCCUUUGUACUUAGCAAUUCUUCUUGUUUGCUCCAUUAUCUUCCAGCCGGAUACAGAGUGAAUAGUUAACCACACUUAGGUCAAAUGGGAUCUUAAUCUUUGUUCCUGCUCCAUCUAAAGAGGCUGGUGUUCUGUGCAUUGCAAGCAGGCUUGGAAUAGUGCCUCUUCUCAUUUGUUUGGUAUCUGGCCACCAGGUUCCAGAAUGAUACACAGAUCAGUGGGAAAGUUCAUCAGACUCUCAGACCUUAGGGCUGUUGGAGAUGGCUUCAGCAGGGGAAUGGAUGGAGAAGGCUAGUGUUCUCUGUCCUCAGCUUUCUUUGCUUGGAUCACAUACAAGUGUACAUUUGGAAGGGCAAAAAGUGAACAGUGUUGUUCACUGCAGCCAUCUUCUGUGACACAGAUGUACAGUCUGCUGUGAAGACCUUCUCUCAAGUGGCAGAUGGGGGUCCAUGCCAGAUCAUGAUGCUUCAUGACAGACUAACCAGCUACCAAGGGUGGUGGCGCUUAGUGAGGACCCUCCUCCCCAGUGUGUGCUGAUGACACAUACGUACCUGACAAUAGCUUGAGUCUUCUCUGUUCCUUUUAUUCUGUAGCCAACGUACGCAUGAUUUAAAACACUUCCUAAAUAUAAGUGAUGGUUCACCCUAGUCCAGAUGCAGAGUCAAAGCUGUUUGUACUUUAUUAUUAUCUCCAAGGGGAAUAGAUGGCUUGCUUUUUGCAAAAAGAAUUAAAGCUUUUGUAUAUUGCGGUU
Non-coding RNA from Saimiri boliviensis boliviensis (Bolivian squirrel monkey), 2188 nucleotides. NCBI's taxonomy places the organism in Eukaryota, Metazoa, Chordata, Mammalia, Primates, Cebidae. The record is from RefSeq and is a predicted model, not a curated record.